AACAACAUUAUUGACUAAGACUAUAUACUAUAUUUACAAAAUAACAGGUCAAAUAAUUAGAUACUCUAAUUAUUCCUGAAUUUUCACCUUCUCCAUUGAAGUGGUUGCCCUAGCUUUCUUACUCCAUUGAAGCAACACCUCCGCCUUCUCACUCCAUUGAAGCAGUAUCUCCGCCUCCAUUGAAUCGUGCUCUAUUCUCCAUUGAAGACGAAUCUGAGCUUUCUCACCUCCAUUGAAGCUGCUCCUGACAAGACUUGAAGGAAUAUCUGCUAGUAAGGCAGGACAGUUUGCUGUGGUGGUAGAGGUCUAUGAAGUUGCUCCCUCACUUUUUAUGGUUGAUGUUCGGAGAGCCGCUGGUGACACCCUUGAAUACCACAAGGUUCAAAAUGAAAUUAUCAGUUGCAUAUAUAAUUAUAUCAAUAUGGCUUCUACAAGUCUCGUAAGAGUUAAUCAGCUUGGACCUGCAAACUCCAAGAGAAGCUUCAGAUGCUGCUGUCCUCUGUUCAGCUGCUAGUAUUAGGAACACGAUUUACACCUAUCUUUUGGCUGCUGCUGUCCUCUGUUCAGCUGCUAGUGUGGAGCUGGUCUUUGAUAUUUUCGUUCCUUGCUUUGAUUUUUUUUUGGACGAAAAUUGUAAUAUUACAGCCUUUUUUAAUGAAAAUAUGUAACUUUAUAUA
Molecule: RNA transcript, 677 nt
Organism: Chenopodium quinoa (quinoa)
Lineage: Eukaryota; Viridiplantae; Streptophyta; Magnoliopsida; Caryophyllales; Amaranthaceae
Gene name: CBL-interacting serine/threonine-protein kinase 24-like
Exons: 4
Source: RefSeq, a predicted model, not a curated record